RNAcentral lists this ribosomal RNA (548 nucleotides) under uncultured bacterium. RNAcentral's name for it is "partial 16S ribosomal RNA". The record is from RNAcentral.
AGCCGCCGCGGGAGUCACUUUAAGUGAUUCGCUCACCCUCGCAGGUUCGCAGCACUCUGUAUGCGCCAUUGUAGCACGUGUGUAGCCCUACACGUAAGGGCCAUGAUGACUUGACGUCGUCCCCACCUUCCUCCGGAUUAUCACCGGCAGUCUCCUUAGAGUUCCCGACCGAAUCGCUGGCAACUAAGGAUAGGGGUUGCGCUCGUUGCGGGACUUAACCCAACAUCUCACAACACGAGCUGACGACAGCCAUGCAGCACCUGUAUUCAUGAGUUCCCGAAGGCACCAAACCAUCUCUGGUAAGUUCUCUGUAUGUCAAGUAGUAGGUAAGGUUCUUCGCUGUUGCAUCGAAUUAAACCACAUGCUCCACCGUUUGUGCGGCCCCCCGCCAAUUCAUUUGAGUUUUAACCCUUGCGGCUCGUACUUCCCAGGCGGUCUACUUAAUGCGUUAGCUUUGAAAAACAAGUUCCGAAAAACCCGAGCCUUUUAGUAGACAUCUGUUUACCGGCGUGGGACUACCAAGGCAUUAUAAACCCUGUUGCUCCCCA